Long non-coding RNA from Cyprinus carpio carpio, 1350 nucleotides. NCBI's taxonomy places the organism in Eukaryota, Metazoa, Chordata, Actinopteri, Cypriniformes, Cyprinidae. The record is from Ensembl.
GGGGGGUCAGGGUGAUGCCAACUUCCAAUUUGCCCUACACAAAUACAUUAUAAGUGCAGCAUUCUAUACAACCUUAGUGGGCCUGGAACAAUGCUCCCUCAUUGUCCUCCAGACGACAGCACUGCAAUAGCAUUAUAAACGAGCGCUUAAAAAGCACAGUGAUUCCUGGAGAAAGUGUCCACACAGCCCAGAUCUGCAAUUUUGAAAACUAGAAGGCCUGGAUCCUAAUAAGCCGUUCUCUGAGGCCCUACCGCAAGCAUGCGAGGCACACCGUAAAGAAUUCUCCAUUCCACCCCCAAUGCCCCCCCCCCCUUUUUCUUCCUCCAUCCUCUUCAUAUACUCCCCCCUUCAGCCUCAUAGCUUUUGCAGCCGCUCGGGACGUUGCAAAGUGCUUCAGCAGAUGGAAAGCAGUCUUUAAUUACAGUGGAAUCAGCUGACCGGCAUGCAUCCCCUCUUUCCGUCCUGGAUGGACGGAGACAGAACAACAGCGAGGUAGAAAAGUAAGGGCGCACACACAUGCAUUCAUGUAAAUGUCAACAACAUGCUCUGGUUCUAAAUGAGAGUUUGAGGACUCCUCCAGGGGCACGUUGCAAGGGUGUGUGUGUACUUGAGAAGGGAGUCUCAUUUCCUACCAUUACUGCUGCGAUUGGCCAUUUGCUUCAGCUGUCGCUCCAUAAAGGUCGGUACCUUUACACAAGCAAGACAGCCCAUUAUCUUUAUUUUUUGUCUAUACUAAAUAUCAGUCAGCAACCUGGAAAUAAUUUACACUGUGAACUCUUACAAGUUUUACUAAUAUAUUCUGAGGUUACUCAGAAAUGUGUGGAGGACUGCCAUUUUCUGUCAACUGAAAAGUGGUUAAUUGGAUGCAUUACCGCCAUCUGCUGGGGGACGUCCAAUCUGUGUUACGCUCCAAAUAAUUUGUCCUGAUAAACUUGAUUUUCUGGGAAGCAAAUGACUUGGUUUUGCCCAUACAAAACUGACUGCCAUAAUACCUGUGGAUGGUUGUCAGGGCGUUGAGUUAUGGUUGCUACAGUGCUCUGGGUGGUUGCUUUUUAAACUGGUUUGUCAGAUGCCAGGCCAAAAACAAAACUCCAAAAGCUAUAAAAAGCAAGAGCACAGUUCUCCUUAGUACACUGCAAAAUUAGAAUUAUUUUUACUGAAUACUUAAAAUUAGAGGUAAAUAACUGUGACUUAUUUCUGUUGUAUUAAACUUUUUUUUUUUUUUUUUCUGGUCAGUGAUGCAAAACCUCCCUUUUUGAAUAAAAUCAAAAUAAAAAAAGACAUUGUAUAUACAAUUCUUUAAAAUACUUUAAGUAUAUUUGGCCAGCAGUUUCAUAAUGAUAAUAAAAA